GCAGUCGAGCGGUAGAGAGAAGCUUGCUUCUCUUGAGAGCGGCGGACGGGUGAGUAAUGCCUAGGAAUCUGCCUGGUAGUGGGGGAUAACGUUCGGAAACGGACGCUAAUACCGCAUACGUCCUACGGGAGAAAGCAGGGGACCUUCGGGCCUUGCGCUAUCAGAUGAGCCUAGGUCGGAUUAGCUAGUUGGUGAGGUAAUGGCUCACCAAGGCGACGAUCCGUAACUGGUCUGAGAGGAUGAUCAGUCACACUGGAACUGAGACACGGUCCAGACUCCUACGGGAGGCAGCAGUGGGGAAUAUUGGACAAUGGGCGAAAGCCUGAUCCAGCCAUGCCGCGUGUGUGAAGAAGGUCUUCGGAUUGUAAAGCACUUUAAGUUGGGAGGAAGGGCAGUUACCUAAUACGUGAUUGUUUUGACGUUACCGACAGAAUAAGCACCGGCUAACUCUGUGCCAGCAGCCGCGGUAAUACAGAGGGUGCAAGCGUUAAUCGGAAUUA
Molecule: ribosomal RNA, 500 nt
Filed under: Pseudomonas sp.
Lineage: Bacteria; Pseudomonadati; Pseudomonadota; Gammaproteobacteria; Pseudomonadales; Pseudomonadaceae
Description: bacterial SSU rRNA
Rfam family: Bacterial small subunit ribosomal RNA
Source: RNAcentral